This 380-nucleotide ribosomal RNA is filed under the name uncultured eukaryote. RNAcentral describes it as "partial 18S ribosomal RNA". It matches the Rfam family "Eukaryotic small subunit ribosomal RNA", at positions 592 to 976 of the family's 1831-position model. The record is from RNAcentral.
CAAUAGCGUAUAUUAAAGUUGUUGCGGUUAAAAAGCUCGUAGUUGGAUUUCUGCUGAGGAUGACCGGUCCGCCCUCUGGGCAGGUAUCUGGCUCAGCCUUGGCAUCUUCCUGAAGAACGCAGCUGCACUUGACUGUGUGGUGCGGUAUUUAGGACAUUUACUUUGAGGAAAUUAGAGUGUUUCAAGCAAGCGCACGCCUUGAAUACAUUAGCAUGGAAUAAUAAGAUAGGACCUCGGUUCUAUUUUGUUGGUUUCUAGAACUGAGGUAAUGAUUGAUAGGGAUAGUUGGGGGCAUUCGUAUUUAACUGUCAGAGGUGAGAUUCUUGGAUUUGUUAAAGACGGACUACUGCGAAAGCAUUUGCCAAGGAUGUUUUCAUUGA